AGAACGAACGCUGGCGGCAUGCCCAACACAUGCAAGUCGAACGAGACCUUCGGGUCUAGUGGCGCACGGGUGCGUAACGCGUGGGAAUCUGCCCUUGGGUUCGGAAUAACAGCGAGAAAUUGCUGCUAAUACCGGAUGAUGACGUAAGUCCAAAGAUUUAUCGCCCAAGGAUGAGCCCGCGUAGGAUUAGCUUGUUGGUGAGGUAAGAGCUCACCAAGGCGACGAUCCUUAGCUGGUCUGAGAGGAUGAUCAGCCACACUGGGACUGAGACACGGCCCAGACUCCUACGGGAGGCAGCAGUGGGGAAUAUUGGACAAUGGGCGAAAGCCUGAUCCAGCAAUGCCGCGUGAGUGAUGAAGGCCUUAGGGUUGUAAAGCUCUUUUACCCGGAUGAUAAUGACAGUACCGGAGAAUAAGCUCCGGCUAACUCCGUGCCAGCAGCCGC
Molecule: ribosomal RNA, 444 nt
Filed under: uncultured soil bacterium
Lineage: Bacteria
Description: bacterial SSU rRNA
Rfam family: Bacterial small subunit ribosomal RNA
Source: RNAcentral